Long non-coding RNA from Vespa mandarinia (Asian giant hornet), 272 nucleotides. NCBI's taxonomy places the organism in Eukaryota, Metazoa, Arthropoda, Insecta, Hymenoptera, Vespidae. The record is from RefSeq and is a predicted model, not a curated record.
AUACUUUCUUCAGGUAGAUUUGCCGCGCUUCUCAUGGCCAGCCCUUCCAUUGUCUUUUGUUAUCUACAAAUUCUUUUGUUACCUACAAAUCGACCAGAUCCGAUUUGGAAGAGAAACGGGCAGUAGGAAAUAGAACGUAGACGAGAGAAAUAGCACGAGAGUGUAGUAUAAAAUUUAGACAGUGUGAAUAAUAAACGUAAAUUGUCGUUUCUUUGUUCACAGAGAAACAUAUUUUCGUUUAUCACCUCAUAUAAUUAAUCCGAGAUAUUAUA